AUUGAACGCUGGCGGCAUGCCUUACACAUGCAAGUCGAACGGCAGCACGGGAGCAAUCCUGGUGGCGAGUGGCGAACGGGUGAGUAAUAUAUCGGAACGUGCCCAGUCGUGGGGGAUAACGCAGCGAAAGCUGUGCUAAUACCGCAUACGAUCUAAGGAUGAAAGCGGGGGAUCGCAAGACCUCGCGCGCUUGGAGCGGCCGAUAUCAGAUUAGCUAGUUGGUGGGGUAAAGGCCCACCAAGGCGACGAUCUGUAGCUGGUCUGAGAGGACGACCAGCCAACAUGGAAGUGAGACACGGUCCAGACUCCUACGGGAGGCAGCAGUGGGGAAUGUUGGAGAAGGGGCGCAAGCCUGUUCCAGCAAUGCCGGGUGCAGGAUGAAGGCCUUCGGGUUGUAAACUGCUUUUGUACGGAACGAAACGGCCCUUUCUAAUACAGGGGGCUAAUGACGGUACCGUAAGAAUAAGCACCGGCUAACUACGUGCCAGCCGCCGCAGUAA
RNAcentral lists this ribosomal RNA (500 nucleotides) under uncultured bacterium. Its description in RNAcentral is "partial 16S ribosomal RNA". It matches the Rfam family "Bacterial small subunit ribosomal RNA", at positions 29 to 523 of the family's 1533-position model. The record is from RNAcentral.